RNAcentral lists this ribosomal RNA (1327 nucleotides) under metagenome. RNAcentral's name for it is "bacterial LSU rRNA". It matches the Rfam family "Bacterial large subunit ribosomal RNA", at positions 1565 to 2910 of the family's 2925-position model. The record is from RNAcentral.
AUUUAACUUGUUAUUUAAUUUCUUGUUUAUCCUUAGUCAUAUUUCCAAGAAAAGCUCCGAUUACUUUAUAAUUUAAAUAACCUGUACCCUAAACCGACACAGGUAGGUAGGUAGAGAAUACUAAGGGGCGCGAGAUAACUCUCUCUAAGGAACUCGGCAAAAUAACUCCGUAACUUCGGGAGAAGGAGUGGCUAGAGAUAGCCCGCAGUGACCAGGCCCAGGCGACUGUUUAUCAAAAACACAGGUUUCCGCAAAAUCGUAAGAUAAAGUAUGGGAGCUGACGCCUGCCCAGUGUCGGAAGGUAAAAGAAGUUGGUUAUUCUUCGGAAGAAGCUGACGACUGAAGCCCCGAUGAACGGCGGCUGUAACACUGACAGUCCUAAGGUAGCGAAAUUCAUUGCCAAGUAAGUUUUGGCCCGCACGAAAGGCGUAACGAUCUGGGUACUGUCUCGGAGAGAGACUCGGUGAAAUAGAAAUGUCUGUGAAGAUGCGGACUACCUAUACCAGGACAGAAAGACCCUGUGAAGCUUGACUGUAGCUUGGAAUUGGAUUCGGGCUCUUUUUGUGCAGUCUAGGUGGGAGGCGAUGAUAUACUGUUUUCGGACAGUGUGGAGCCAUCAGUGAGAGACCACUCUGAAAGAGCUAGGAUCCUAAUACGAAUCCUUGAAUCAGGAUCGUUAACAGUUUCAGGCGGACAGUUUGUUUGGGGCGAAUACCUCCCAAAAAGUAACGGAGGUGUGCAAAGGCUUCCUCAGGCUGGACGGAAAUCAGCUGUAGAGUGUAAAAGUAUAAGGGAGCUUGACUGCAAGACCAACAAGUCGAGCAGGAGUGAAAGCUGGCUUUAGUGAUCCGACGGUACCGAGUGGAAGGGCCGUCGCUCAACGAAUAAAAGUUACUCCAGGAUAACAGGCUAAUCACUUCCAAGAGUUCGUAUCGACGAAGUGGUUUGGCACCUCGAUGUCGGCUCAUCGCAACCUGGGGCUGUAGUCGGUCCCAAGGGUUGGACUGUUCGUCCAUUAAAGCGGUACGUGAGCUGGGUUCAGAACGUCGUGAGACAGUUCGGUCCAUAUCCGGUAUAGGCGUAAGAGCAUUGGGAGGAGCUCGACAUUGUACGAGAGGACCCGAAGGGUCGUACCGAUGGUGUACCAGUUCUUGUACCAACAGGAAACGCUGGGUAGCUAUGUACGAAGUGGAUAAUCGCUGAAAGCAUUUAAGUGAGAAGCCCACCUCAAGAUGAAUGCUCUCUAUUAGAUCGCAGCAAGAUAAGCUGAUUAAUUGGCGUUAGGUGUAAGGUCAGUAAUGGCUUCAGCCGAGACGUACAAAGGAUC